UUUCUGGCCAUGCCCUUGUGUGAUCAGGAAACGGGCAGGGGCCUCCUGGACGCUCUGGCUCCAGCCUUAGUCUUAUGGAGACGUCGGGAGAAAAGCAGGGAGAAAGGGUCCCACCUCUGAGAUGUAUCGAGGCUGGGGGAUGGGAGCCUUGGAGGACAGAGGACGUCACUCACCUUAAUACGUGAUUCAGGGACUCAAACAGGCAGGUGAGAACGGACAUGAGCAUCAGCUGGGGGUGGGCAGAUACGGGAGGAGGAAAACGAGAGAGCUUGAGUUUAUGAAGGCUGAAAGGAAGCCUCAGAGCUUAGCUGUGUGGGCAGCGGUUCCUCUUCAGAGAGGACCGGGCAGGAGCCUGGCUGCAGCCUGACCAGAGGGGCCCCCUCCUCAUGUUUGAACUGGGAAGCACUGGAGUGCCCACCGUGGGGCCCUGAGUACAUCCUUCUCCGGUGAUGUUUGAGAAAGAAAUGGGGGCUCCCUGCAGAGGACUUCAUUUCUGGUACCCAAGGGAUCCAAGGGGCAUUAAGGCUAUGUAUUGUUCCAGAAAGAACCAUCCUGGCUGCUUUCUAUCCCCAAAAGCCAAAAGGAGGGGUACCCAGGGUGAGCCUCCCAGCUUCGGCCGCAGACUCCCCCAGCCAGCCUCCCACAGGCACCACAGUCACUCAAUCCAGACGACUGGGCAAUGGGAUUUUCCUCCGCCGAAUGGUAUCCAGUCUUCUUCAUCUCAACUUCAAUGUCAUCACCAAAAGAGCCUCUCUGACAACCACCAAAUCUAAUUCAACUGGUCUCGCUGUCACAUUCUCCAUGUAAGCACCCUGCACAUGUCUUUUGCUGUACUUAACCUAUAAAUAUCAUUUUUACUAA
Molecule: long non-coding RNA, 861 nt
Organism: Phacochoerus africanus (Common warthog)
Lineage: Eukaryota; Metazoa; Chordata; Mammalia; Artiodactyla; Suidae
Exons: 2
Source: RefSeq, a predicted model, not a curated record